RNAcentral lists this ribosomal RNA (205 nucleotides) under uncultured Enterobacteriaceae bacterium. Its description in RNAcentral is "partial 16S ribosomal RNA". It matches the Rfam family "Bacterial small subunit ribosomal RNA", at positions 1298 to 1502 of the family's 1533-position model. Lineage: Bacteria; Pseudomonadati; Pseudomonadota; Gammaproteobacteria; Enterobacterales; Enterobacteriaceae. The record is from RNAcentral.
UUGGAGUCUGCAACUCGACUCCAUGAAGUCGGAAUCGCUAGUAAUCGUAGAUCAGAAUGUUACGGUGAAUACGUUCCCGGGCCUUGUACACACCGCCCGUCACACCAUGGGAGUGGGUUGCACCAGAAGUAGAUAGCUUAACCGCGAGGGGGGCGUUUACCACGGUGUGAUUCAUGACUGGGGUGAAGUCGUAACAAGGUAACCA